This 253-nucleotide ribosomal RNA is filed under the name uncultured bacterium. Its description in RNAcentral is "partial 16S ribosomal RNA". It matches the Rfam family "Bacterial small subunit ribosomal RNA", at positions 524 to 776 of the family's 1533-position model. The record is from RNAcentral.
UACGUAGGGAGCAAGCGUUGUCCGGAAUCAUUGGGCGUAAAGCGCGCGUAGGUGGCUUCGUAAGUCCGCUGUGAAAGUCAAAGGCUCAACCUUUGAAAGCCGGUGGAUACUGCGGGGCUAGAGUCCGGAAGAGGCGAGUGGAAUUCCUGGUGUAGCGGUGAAAUGCGCAGAUAUCAGGAGGAACACCAAUGGCGAAGGCAGCUCGCUGGGACGGUACUGACGCUGAGACGCGAAAGCGUGGGGAGCAAACAGG